RNAcentral lists this non-coding RNA (28 nucleotides) under Homo sapiens (human). The record is from RNAcentral. Lineage: Eukaryota; Metazoa; Chordata; Mammalia; Primates; Hominidae.
UGGCCACGCCUGUUAAGAACACAUCCUC